This is a long non-coding RNA of Serinus canaria (Common canary), 931 nucleotides long. RefSeq lists it as uncharacterized. The transcript is spliced from 3 exons. NCBI's taxonomy places the organism in Eukaryota, Metazoa, Chordata, Aves, Passeriformes, Fringillidae. The record is from RefSeq and is a predicted model, not a curated record.
CGGCGCAUCCGCGGUCGGGCCACGCCGCAGUUUCCGUGGAGACGGCGGCAGCGGUCUCUGCUUCCUUAGGAACCAAACAUUUCAUCCGCCUUGAGUAGGGCUGCAAAUAUGCGGGAUGGGCCCGGACAGGCCGCCCAGGUGUGCCCCGGGGCGGGGAUUGCUCCGGCAGCAGCUCCGGGACCAUCCCGGGAUGCGCUGCCGGGACCCGGGCGUGCCCACGCGCGGCGCUGCCAUCCCAAAAUGCUCCAACUCCUCAUUCUGAAGGAGCGUGGCCUAAUUAACUCAAGUGCAGGAUGAUUUUAAAUUAACAGAAUAAAUUAUUUCUUUCUCGUUGUUGCACCAAACUUUGCUGGGUUGAGCGGCACUCAAAGCUCCGAGCGCUGAGGGGGGGGCCAGCCAGAGGCACCAGCCCAGCCCCAGCCCCUGUGGGACACGAAGCAAAGCCCCCGGGGCAUUUCCUGCCCAGCUCCCUCCUCAGCAGGGCUGCCAGGAGUGACAUCAGCCCAGGAGCGUGUUAGGGAAUUCAAGUUCAAACAGAGAUGAGGAAGCCAGGGAAGCUUUAUUAGAUUCCAGCCUCACCAGGUGUCAGCAGAAGUGUGCCAGGUGAGGCUCCAGCAUGCACAGGUGGGGAGCUGGGCUGGGAGCAGAGCUGGGCUGGGAGCAGAGCUGGGCAUGCAGGGGGGCUGGGCUGGGCCCUGGGGCUGCCCCGGCUGGAGCUGAAGGGUUCCCAGGGAGGGGACAGGGAUGGGAGCAGCCCCAGAGAGGGGCCACCCAUCAGAGGCAUGGAGAGCUUUGGAAGCAGCCUGGGAGGGAGCCAGGACAGGCCUUGAACACUGCAUGGAGGGGACAGAGAGCUGGGGAGGGGAGGGAAGGUUUGGGAAGGGAAGGUUUGGGAAGGUUUGGGAAGGUUUGGGAAGGGAAGGUUUGGGAA